RNAcentral lists this ribosomal RNA (271 nucleotides) under uncultured archaeon. Its description in RNAcentral is "partial 16S ribosomal RNA". It matches the Rfam family "Archaeal small subunit ribosomal RNA", at positions 477 to 747 of the family's 1478-position model. The record is from RNAcentral.
CAGCGCCACGAGUGGCAACCAUGAUUAUUGGGCCUAAAGCGUUCGUAGCCGGUUUGGUAAAUCUUCUGUGAAAUCGUCUCGCUUAACGAAACGACGUGCAAGAGACACUACUAAACUUGAGACCGGGAGGAGCAAGGAGUAUUCUUGGGGGAGCGGUAAAAUGUUAUAAUCCCUUGAAGACUACCUGUGGCGAAGGCGCCUUGCUAGAACGGAUCUGACGGUGAGGGACGAAAGCCAGGGGAGCGAUCCGGAUUAGAUACCCGAGUAGUCC